Molecule: long non-coding RNA, 4297 nt
Organism: Parus major (Great Tit)
Lineage: Eukaryota; Metazoa; Chordata; Aves; Passeriformes; Paridae
Exons: 3
Source: RefSeq, a predicted model, not a curated record
GAUGAGAACUUUUCCGUGAAAUUUGCCAUCAGCGGAUCCAGUCGAGCCUACCUCAUGGCUGAGGUCUCCUUUGCUGCCUCAGUUGUGAACCUUUGCACCUCUGGCUCAUGCCUGGAAAAGAAAAUGUGUAAAUACCUUACACUUAACACUGCUUCCAGCAGAGCCAGACCCAGGCAUUUCUGAAACACCAGUGCAGUACAGCUUGUGCACUGCUCCUGGGAGCAGCACAGAGCAGCUGCUGGAUGGCUUUGGGGCAGAUGGAGGAAGAUGUGGGAGCAAAGAGUGAACCCAUGUAACUGCACUUCUCUGGGUCUCAUGGAAGUACAAUAACAGCUUGAAGUAAAAUCACUGUUUAUGGACUCAUCAGAACAGCAUUUGUGCAAAACUUGCUGGGUUCCUCUCCAUCCCCUCUUUUUCUGUUGGAAGAUGGGUAAGAUGGCCUGAGCAAAGUUUUAAAUCUGUUUCAGUUCUUGGCCUCUGAGACAGAUUUUGUAUUUUCAUGUAAAACUGCCUUUUAUGACAGAUCUCAGAAACAGACACUAGCUUUUCUAGCCAGCAAGAAAAAGAGAUAAAAUAAUUUAAAGAGUUUUCAAGUUUCACUGUUGCCAAUGAUCAGCUUGCCACAGAAGCUCUAAAUGAUGGGCUGGUGCUACAACUAAGGUGGUAUAACAGCUAUUGCUGCUAAGUCAGCUCCCCUCCCUUUCCUGUCCUUGGUCUCCUGCUACUGUUUCUCUGAAACUAGAGUGAGGCAGCUCAUAGAGAUCAAACAAAAAUAAUAAAAAAAAAUGUGUGGGUGGUUUUUUGUUUUGCUUUGUAGGGGGGUUUUUUGUGUUUUUUUGGUGUCUUUAUUCUUAAUUGUGAACCGCCACGACUUUAGUUGCACGAUAAUUUUAGAUUGAUGUGAGCUGUGUAAAGUGGUCAACUCUGGCUCUUCCCUGCUUGUGCUCCUGUUGGAUCUCACAUCCCCUGUGUUGGGGGGAAGACCUUUGCUCUGAUCUGGAGGAAAUUCAUCUCCCCAUUCCACUCCCUAAUUUUUCUCCAGGUUAGUUUAGAGAUGCUUUCAUGAUAUGGCUGAUUACAUAGCUGUACAAAUACUAGGAGGAGGGGACAGGACCUCCUGUAGCUGGUAAAUUCUACUUGUUUUGACUGAGAUAUAACAUGGAAGGGCUACUUCAAAUAUGCCCUUGUAAAACUGGAUCUGUUUUGCCAGCACUAAAUCAUUUAUUCUCUACUUUCAUUGAAGGUAAAUUAGUGCAGAAUACAGCUCGAUGGAAAGAAAAUACAUAGGAUGAGAAGAGACUGAAGCAUAAAUGGUAAAACAUCAUGGGGUCCUCUCAGAAGUCUUUUUUCUUCCAAAGAAAUGGAGAUUGGCUUCAAUAAGGAAAAUAUAAUCUCUAAAACAUUCCUGCAUUUUAUGUUAGUUACUUACUUCCAGGGGAAGAUGAAUUUUGGGAUGGCACAUGAAGGGGCAAAUAAACUAUCAUGAGUUGAAUAUCCCAUUAAGAAAAUGCAUGCUUCUGGCUUUGUUUUCUUUCUUCUUCCCACAGCACCCAGCCAGACUGCUCAGAUCAGCACCCUACCAAUGGCAGCCUCAUUCUCAUAAACACACAAAGCCCCAAAAAGAAACUGAGCAAAUAUUUCCUGUGCAGAUGGUCCCCUCUGCCUUCACUGCCCAAAUGUAAAUGGGUGCAGAAAUUUCCAGAUGAAAGUUUAUGACAUAAAUGAAUCCCUGGUGGUUGAUUUUUGUUUUCCUCUGUGAAGUCCACACAAUGGGAGGCGGCUGCUUAUCACCGACUGCAGCUUUCUGGGCCCUCAGAAUUGCAGAGAAGACCUGAAGAGCCAUGGGAGGAGGGGAGUUCUCCCAGCAAAUCUUCACAGCAUCUCUCUGUUAUCCAUGCUUUCUCCUCACUCCCCCACCUCCCAGCCCAACAAAAAACCCCAAGGUUUAUUUGAACUCUUGUAAUUAGAUCUGUCUGGGAGAGCAACCAAAGUGUCAAGGUUUCAAAGAGAAAUUCAGAGAAGUCAAGAGCAAGUAGAGACUUGAAAAGGGAAGUCGAAAAAGAAAGCUAGUCUUUAUCAUGGUAAUAGUAAUGAAGCCAAGCUGAAAAAGGCCAGACGAGGGGCUGGGUUACUGUACUGUGAAGUGCCAGGGCAGCAUCCCGAGAGAGGGGAUUAGAGAACCACGCCAGCCCUCGGGACCGCUGUCAUUUCUGGUCCUCCCUCGGAGCAGCGGUGGAGCGGGAAGCGCCCCGGCAGCAAACCCUGACUGACUGCGGGAGGCAGCGUUCGGAUGGGCAGGAGGAGGUUUCUCCCGCUGGAGAUGGGCGGGGAGCCGAUCCAGAGAGCGAAGGGAUCGUGGAAAAUGAUUUCCCGGCGCAGGAACCCCCAUUUCUGUGAAGCCGCCGCGCAAAAUCUCCGGCCCUGUGCGAGCGCAUCCUCCCCGGGUACCCCCUCCUUCGGCGCUGCAAUCGGGCUUCUAAUCAAUUAGGCAAAUUGACUGCAGGAGUGAGCUAUUUCCUACUCCUGGCAACAAAACCGGCUCAUGUUAACUCCAUGUUUCCCAGGAGCCCUGCUCUUCCCCACCUUAUUUUUUUUCUUUUUUUUUUUUUAUUUUUUAUUUUUUCUUUUUUUACGAAAAAAGCAGAGGAGUUUCUCGUAACUGUGCACUGUUACUCCAGACACCAAAAUAAUUUUGCUAAGUGUGGGAGGAUUGCGAUGAUCCUUUGAAAAAUUGUAAAUUCGGAUUCCAAGGGACAAAUAUUCCAGUUAAACAGGAAUUGGGAGCAUUUUCUCUUUAAAUGCCAUUCAGCCAAAGACACGGGCGCACAUGAGCAGAUUCACAUGUGGCCAGAGAACUAGUCCUGCAUGUAUUUAACUCUCGAGGCAUCGAGCAUGAGGUGCCACUUGGCAAAUACAGCUGGAAAAGUCCUGAGGACGGGAGUUCCAGAUGAAACCUAAGCUGCACUUUCCCUUGCUGUUGUCCUUCGUAUCAGGAGUUAUUUCUACCGGGCUCCACAUAAAAAAAUCACCCAAGUCCCAAAGAUGUAGGCACAACGUAUUGGCCAAGGGAUGUCACAUCCGUUCUUAAGCAAUAUUUUACAUAUACCAGACUACUGGUUUCACAGAUUGUUUCCAAAGAUGUCACCGGGCUGGCACUGAUUCUAAUGGUUUUGUUCUGUCUGAUUUAAUUUGCUGUCUCAGGAGUUUAGUUUGCUGUAACUUUUAACAAGUGCUACAUAUGGGACAGAAAAAAAACAUCCCCCAGAGGGCUGAAUCAGCUGCUUUCCAAAAUGUGCAGCCGAGCAGCCCAGCAAGCACAUGGCCCUGCUCCUGUUUCUGUACAGUCCCAGCCAUUGCUGGGUCUCACUCUAGUGGGACACAGAAUGCUGGAAGUGUUUUAGAAAGAGUCAUCCACACCAAUAUUCUAGAAAUUGAAAGUGGACCCUGCAUUAAGAAUGAUUCCUGAAAUCUUCUGAAGCUCAGCUCCAGAGCCUUAGCUCACAGCUGGUCCUGAAAACACUCAGAAAUUCUAGAGAUCAAGUAACUCUCAUUAGAAAUAAAAUAACUUCUUUGUUGUUGUUGUUUUUUUGUUUUGUUGUUUUUUUUGCUAGAUCUGUUUCCUUGAAGAGGCAGGCAAAUAAUUCAAGCUACUGAAUUCACACAGAAAAGGAAAACAAAAGCCUCAAUGAAUUUACCAUCAUAUCUAUAUCUAUAUAUAUAUAUAUAUAAAUUAAAGAUUGUUGAGAUUAAAAAUUGCUACUCAAAGUCAUUAAUGACCAUUUAUUUAUUCAUUGUAAAUUACAUGUAAAUAUACAUUUCAUGCACGAGGGAUGGUGUCACACAGUAAUAAUAAUGAAAAUAAUGAAUAAUAAUAAUGAAAAGCAGAGAGUGUUAGUGACAAGUCAUGUUUGCUUGCUGGACCAGUUAGCAGAAUAGGGGGAGUUAAAAGCUAUCUAUUUUCAGAUACAUAAUAUAAACAUUAUAUUUUAUAAAGAAAAUUUCAUAUUUCUACAGCAAUUCCAAUAUGAUAAAAAACUGUAAUUAAACCAAAUAUUUUUUACGCUGGAUCUUUUUUUGUUAUAGCAUUUCUGGGCCUAGUGCAUCAAAUUGAGUGUUUAGGAAUUUCAAGAGGUCAUUAAAUGUCCAGUGUUACACAGUAUUAUACAGACAAUAUUUAUCUCCUGAUUAUAAUAUGAAAUUUCCUUUGAGUAAACUCAGUUGACAGUAGUCACAGUGUCAAUUUUUUUUUUUUUACUUACACUACAAAAACCUGUAAAAGAAAUAUUUUCAACAUGAA